This 72-nucleotide transfer RNA is filed under the name Neucentropus mandjuricus. Its description in RNAcentral is "tRNA-Lys". The record is from RNAcentral. Lineage: Eukaryota; Metazoa; Arthropoda; Insecta; Trichoptera; Polycentropodidae.
CAUUAGAAAACUUAAAUGUAAGUAAAAGCCUCUUAAGCUUCAAAUUAAUGAAUUAACAAUCAUUUCUAAUGA